Long non-coding RNA from Scatophagus argus, 508 nucleotides. RefSeq lists it as uncharacterized. The transcript is spliced from 3 exons. NCBI's taxonomy places the organism in Eukaryota, Metazoa, Chordata, Actinopteri, Scatophagidae. The record is from RefSeq and is a predicted model, not a curated record.
ACCCACCGCUGAUGCAUCCCGCUCCGGUCGGUAGAGGGCGCUGCAGAGCCGGAUGAUGAAUCAUCCCCGGCGGCAGCCCUGCUUCUCCUGACCCGCAUUCACCCGUACUGUACAGGCAGGGGGAGGACCGAGCACAGAAAGCAAAUAAGCGCUGUAGAGUUCCCCUGGUCAUGGCUUUGGCAGUCUCCGGCAGACACGGCGCUCCGGUCUCCUCGCACCUGAUAGCGGACUGAUAGGGGGCUACCAGUGGGAGAGCCACUAGCAACACCGCUUGAGACGCUUAUCAACUGAACUCGCUUGUAUUUCUACGUAUUUAUCCUGCUUUUUCUUCACGUGUUAACCCGGCUGUCCCAUAUGUUGACGGUUCAGGAGGCGGUUUUGUACCAUUGGAUGAGGACAGCACCACCUGCCUCAUUUGUGGACCAGUCAGACGAUAUUGCAUGAUUCAUUUCAGGCACAGAGCUGCUGCAGUUCAAGACGCCCUGGGAUGGACUUUUGAGAGACAUGC